Molecule: ribosomal RNA, 421 nt
Filed under: uncultured bacterium
Lineage: Bacteria
Description: bacterial SSU rRNA
Rfam family: Bacterial small subunit ribosomal RNA
Source: RNAcentral
GCAAAACGCGAAGAACCUUACCAGGUCUUGACAUCCCGCUGCCCGCUCUAGAGAUAGAGUUUUCCCUUCGGGGACAGCGGUGACAGGUGGUGCAUGGUUGUCGUCAGCUCGUGUCGUGAGAUGUUGGGUUAAGUCCCGCAACGAGCGCAACCCUUGAUCUUAGUUGCCAGCAUUCAGUUGGGCACUCUAAGGUGACUGCCGGUGAUAAACCGGAGGAAGGUGGGGAUGACGUCAAAUCAUCAUGCCCCUUAUGACCUGGGCUACACACGUGCUACAAUGGACGGUACAGAGGGUCGCAACCCCGCGAGGGUGAGCAAAUCCCAUAAAACCGUUCUCAGUUCGGAUUGUAGGCUGCAACUCGCCUACAUGAAGCCGGAAUCGCUAGUAAUCGUGGAUCAGCAUGCCACGGUGAAUACGUUCC